RNAcentral lists this ribosomal RNA (301 nucleotides) under uncultured bacterium. Its description in RNAcentral is "partial 16S ribosomal RNA". It matches the Rfam family "Bacterial small subunit ribosomal RNA", at positions 509 to 807 of the family's 1533-position model. The record is from RNAcentral.
CAGUAGCCACGGGAAUACGUAGGUGGCAAGCGUUGUCCGGAAUUAUUGGGCGUAAAGGGCUCGCAGGCGGUUUCUUAAGUCUGAUGUGAAAGCCCCCGGCUCAACCGGGGAGGGUCAUUGGAAACUGGGAAACUUGAGUGCAGAAGAGGAGAGUGGAAUUCCACGUGUAGCGGUGAAAUGCGUAGAGAUGUGGAGGAACACCAGUGGCGAAGGCGACUCUCUGGUCUGUAACUGACGCUGAGGAGCGAAAGCGUGGGGAGCGAACAGGAUUAGAGACCCCGGUAGUCCCUGUCUCUUAUAC